CUACUUUUGUGCCGCAUUGGCUCGCGAACCUGUUCAGGGGAGCGAUUAAAAGGGAAUCAGGUGCAAGUCCUGAACAGUCCCGCUGCUGUGAGUUUCUACACAUUGUAAGAGCAAUUACUCUUGCCACUGACCUAAGGGUCGGGAAGGCGCUGCUUACAGAAACAAGUCAGAAGACCUGCCAUGCCUGCACAAAGGUA
Molecule: non-coding RNA, 197 nt
Filed under: Bacteroides sp.
Lineage: Bacteria; Pseudomonadati; Bacteroidota; Bacteroidia; Bacteroidales; Bacteroidaceae
Also listed under: 1 other name
Source: RNAcentral